GGCCUCGUAGUACAAUGGAUAGUGCGUGGGUUUCCGGUACCCAAAAUCCAGGUUCGAUUCCUGGCGAGGCUACGA
Molecule: transfer RNA, 75 nt
Filed under: Bacteroidota bacterium
Lineage: Bacteria; Pseudomonadati; Bacteroidota
Description: Bacteroidetes bacterium tRNA-Arg
Rfam family: tRNA
About the family: Transfer RNA (tRNA) molecules are approximately 80 nucleotides in length. Their secondary structure includes four short double-helical elements and three loops (D, anti-codon, and T loops). Further hydrogen bonds mediate the characteristic L-shaped molecular structure. tRNAs have two regions of fundamental functional importance: the anti-codon, which is responsible for specific mRNA codon recognition, and the 3' end, to which the tRNAs corresponding amino acid is attached (by aminoacyl-tRNA synthetases). tRNAs cope with the degeneracy of the genetic code in two manners: having more than one tRNA (with a specific anti-codon) for a particular amino acid; and 'wobble' base-pairing, i.e. permitting non-standard base-pairing at the 3rd anti-codon position.
Source: RNAcentral